AGCUUUGCGCAGUGGCAGUAUCGUAGCCAAUGAGGUUUAUCCGAGGCGCGAUUAUUGCUAAUUGAAAAGAUGUUUAUUGUUUAUUGCCGUGACACCUUCACAAUGCUCUUCUCAUUUGAAGAGGAUGUUCAAAAAAAAUUUUUUUUGCAUGUUUAUAAAA
Molecule: non-coding RNA, 160 nt
Organism: Mustela putorius furo (domestic ferret)
Lineage: Eukaryota; Metazoa; Chordata; Mammalia; Carnivora; Mustelidae
Source: Rfam